Molecule: transfer RNA, 75 nt
Filed under: Brumicola pallidula DSM 14239 = ACAM 615
Lineage: Bacteria; Pseudomonadati; Pseudomonadota; Gammaproteobacteria; Alteromonadales; Alteromonadaceae
Also listed under: 1 other name
Description: Glaciecola pallidula DSM 14239 = ACAM 615 tRNA-Arg
Rfam family: tRNA
About the family: Transfer RNA (tRNA) molecules are approximately 80 nucleotides in length.
Source: RNAcentral
GUCCCCAUAGUUUAAUGGAUAAAACGAGGCCCUCCUAAGGCUUAGAUGUUGGUUCGAUUCCAGCUGGGGACACCA